CAGAACCCUCCGCAGAAUAAGCGAGACACCCACACCCAGACCUGAACGAGUCGAAUCGUUGCGGCGGCGGCGGCAUCCUCCUAUUCCUCCUCCCCCUCGCCCGCCUCGUCUCUCACCGCUGACUCGCCAGUGCCACAGGGUCCACUCUCAGUAGUCUUUCCUAUAGACAACCGUGGAAGUCCUGUAGGAAUGAGCGAGCUGAGAAGCCACCUGAACCGGACAAAGCAUAUGAUGACACUAGGUCAGCAGGCGCGCUACGCCGCGCCCAUCCGAUGGUGUCUGUGAGCCGAAACUUCUGUUUGUUCAGUCUUGAGCAUUGUCAUGGGCUUCCAUGUUGCGUGUGGGCUGGGCUCCUGCUAUGCUUGUGGAUUGGACUGUCAGUACACGGCGUGUUUGCUGUUGGUGGUGUUUGAUCGUGAAGCAGGUCGGUAUGAUCGGCAUGAUGAGACAGAGGCGGUUUGGAGAGGUUGGUUUGUAUGGCUGGUUUCGUUGGAGGCAAGGCAGCCCGUGUAUUUUAAUAGAGGCCGGUCUUAGGCUGUGUUUUGUGUGUGUGGAGGCACUGCAAGUGGCUGUGAAGAGCUGCCGACGGUCUCAGCGUUGAGGCAAUGGCGGCUAUUACUGGUUAGUAGACGUGACUCUUUGCUUGUGUAAUGUGAAGGCGAAAUGGUACUGUAUUUUGCGUUUUCAUUUGCUCUGGAA
Panicum virgatum (switchgrass) is the source of this 699-nucleotide long non-coding RNA. RefSeq lists it as uncharacterized. The record is from RefSeq and is a predicted model, not a curated record. The transcript has 2 exons. NCBI's taxonomy places the organism in Eukaryota, Viridiplantae, Streptophyta, Magnoliopsida, Poales, Poaceae.